GUUGGCAUAAAUUCACCACACAUCAAAUGCUCCUGAUCUUUGUCAGAUCUCGGAAGCUAAGUGGGCAUUGAAGCCUGGCUAGUUCUUGGAUGGGGGGGACUGCCUCGGAAUACCAGAUGUUCUAAUC
This 127-nucleotide ribosomal RNA is filed under the name Petromyzon marinus (sea lamprey). The record is from RNAcentral. Lineage: Eukaryota; Metazoa; Chordata; Hyperoartia; Petromyzontiformes; Petromyzontidae.